Molecule: ribosomal RNA, 293 nt
Filed under: uncultured bacterium
Lineage: Bacteria
Description: partial 16S ribosomal RNA
Source: RNAcentral
GGACUACUAGGGUUUCUAAUCCCGUUUGCUCCCCACGCUUUCGUGCCUUAGUGUCAGAAACGAGCCAGUAAUCUGCUUACGCCAUCGGUGUUCCUCCCAAUAUCUACGGAUUUCACUCCUACACUGGGAAUUCCAAUUACCUCUCUCGUCCUCAAGCUGAGCAGUUCAGAACAUGGAUGUAUGGUUGAGCCACACGAUUUCAUGCCCUGCUUACUCUGCCACCUACGCAACUCUUUACGCCCAGUAAUUCCGGAUAACGCUUGGAUCCUCCGUAUUACCGCGGCUGCUGGCAC